Molecule: long non-coding RNA, 272 nt
Filed under: Eucalyptus grandis
Lineage: Eukaryota; Viridiplantae; Streptophyta; Magnoliopsida; Myrtales; Myrtaceae
Description: long non-coding RNA (EGRA_LNC006323)
Source: RNAcentral
CCAAACCGACGCAACGCGAUCGAGAGAAAAUCCGUCAUCACUCGCCACCACCCACUUGCGAGAACCAGCCUUUGCUUCGUAUCCAACCUCUGAAUUUCACAGGAGACCCAUAAAGAUCCCACCUUUUCUCUCAGAAGGAAGCAGCAGCAGCAGCAGCGGAAGAAGAAGAAGAAGAUGAGUUACUUGAACAGGGCGUGGGUGGCGGUCGGCGUGGCGGCGGUGCAGGGCCACUCGGACCAGGGCAUGCGGCUGAAGUACGGCGUGAAAUCGAU